GUACUUGCUUCAGCAGCACAUAUACUGAAAUAGAAAUGAUACAGAAAAGAUUAGCAUGGCCCUGUGUAAAGAUGACACAUAAAAAUAUAACAUGCAAGGAUGACAAAUAUAU
Suricata suricatta (meerkat) is the source of this 112-nucleotide small nuclear RNA. Lineage: Eukaryota; Metazoa; Chordata; Mammalia; Carnivora; Herpestidae. The record is from Ensembl.